This is a long non-coding RNA of Brassica rapa (field mustard), 5775 nucleotides long. RefSeq lists it as uncharacterized. The record is from RefSeq and is a predicted model, not a curated record. Lineage: Eukaryota; Viridiplantae; Streptophyta; Magnoliopsida; Brassicales; Brassicaceae.
AUCUUAACGGGCUUUGGAUAAUGUCUAAUACUUUUAUAAAAUUGUUCAGGGAAUUUUUUUUUUUAACACUUUUUUUUUCGGAAAAACACCAGACUAUAACUGGGAAGGUCUCGAGAAUUAAUUCUCGGAAAGAGUACCAAUAUGGAAUCGAACCGUGGUGGGGAGUUGUAAUUGCGGUAACACUCAACCACCUUUGAACGGGUUCGAAUUGGCCUUCAAUGUUCUUUUUCUAAAUACUACGUACUGUUGUUUACAACUUGUUUUUGUAAAAUCGUUUUAUAAAGAACUUAAUCCAUCUAAUAUGCAGUGUACAAGUCAUAGUCUGAUACAUGAAAUGUCUUCCAUUAAAGUAUUUUUAUGAAAAACAUUUCAAAUAUUUUCUAGAGUAAUUGGCGUAGAUACACUCAGAAACCCAUGUAAUUUGCCAUAUAACUUUGUUUCUUUUUAAUAUUUUUAAUGACUAUAAUACUCUUAUCUAUAUUUCUUUCUCUUCUCCUUUUUAUGUGUUCUAAUCUCUUUAUCUCUCGUACAAAUUCUUCAAAUCAUCUUCUAAUUCAACACAAAUCUUUAUUUUUUUAUUCUAAUUCUUUUGACACCCAUAAUACUAAUUUUAUUAUCUCAUCUCAAUUCCAAUGUUUCCAAUUUCGAAUCACAAUCAACUUUUAGAUAAUAUAUACGUUAGUAGGUAUUUUAUUACUUACCUGCUAUUAUUUAGAUUUUAAUAGAUUCUUAAUCGAUACAUGAAGUGUUAGCUGUUACAAAUAGAUUUGGAGCUAUUUAAUAGAUAACUAAUUAAUUGAUAAUAGUUUCAUUAACUAAUAUAUGAUUUGUUAGUCGAUACAUUUGUUUGAUACAUAGAUUGUUAGAUGAUACUGAAAUUAUUAGCGGAUAUGUUAGUUGGUAUGUAGAUUGUUACCUGCUAUGUAAAUAUUUAGCUGAUAGAUCUAGAGUUACUUGUUUUCAACAAAGCAUAAGGGUAUUUUCGUCCGCACAGUGUCAAAAUAUUACUCUUUUUUGGGUUAUCCAUAAUUAUGGGCAUUCAACAAAUUUGGAUCUUAAUUGGGGAUAUUCCACACAUUAUCUCUAUUUUCUAUUACUUUUGGACUAUAUUUUCUGUCAAGAAUGUGGUAAUAUCUUCCAAUGAUAGCUUGCAUUAUAAUAAUAAAGUAGAAUCUUAGUUUCUAUUGGUCUGGUUUAAUAAUUAGAGAGAUAUGUCCUACUAAUUAAUCAUAAUUCUAAAAAAUGAAAAUUCGGAAAGCUUAGAUUUUCAAGUCAUACUGCUCUUGUGUUUUUGUGUGAGUAUUGCUGUUGAAUGUGUUGUCGAAGUUGUUGAGAAUUGAGUGUAUUAUAUUCUUCAUGUUUUUCUUUUACUUUUAUCCAUAUAUACGAGAACAAUGGAUAAUGAGGUUAUGCAUUCUUUGGAAGAAGAUUGCAACCGUGGUAUGCUUCAUGAUGAUUAUGAUGGUGACCUAGUUCAAAAUGAUCAUAAUUAUGGUAUAAUCAGGGCCGACCCUUAGAUUUUGAAGGCUUGUGGCGGUGUCUAUGUAAAUUUUUUUUUUUAUAAAUUUGGGGGCCUAAAAUUUUUUUUCGGGAACCAUUCGUAUGUAAUUUUUAAAAAAAAAAUUGGAGGUUUGUUGCAAAUGUUUCACUACGUAUUCCCCAAGGCCGGCCCUGGGUAUAAUUCAAAACAUAGAUGAUGUUGGCACUAAUUUUAAAUUAAGAUAAAAUACCAUGAAUAUGGAAAAUCUUCAUCAUAUUGGUGGAAGUUAAUUGUAUGACAAAAAAAAAGGAUAAUGUGUUGUUGUUGGCAUGCAGGGGCGGAGCUAGUUAAGAGGGAGUGGGGUCAGCUGACCCCACUAGAUUUCCAUAAAUAUUGUAAUUAGUAAGGAAAUUUGAAAAGUUAUAUUGGUUUUGCUGGUAAAUGACCCCCUUUAAUUAUCUUGUUUGAUUCUUUCCUUUUUCUAUUUCUUUGAUUUCUUCUUAUUGCAUGAUGUAUCUUUAUGACUUGAUUUCUUAUUCAUAUUCUCAGUUACUAAUAUUUUCUUUUAUGAUAAUGUACUGUAUAGUUUUCAAAACAUAAUUUAUUUUAAUUACUUUCUUUUUCUUUUAUCAUUUACUUUCUCUAAAUAAUCUUUUAAAUAAAUUAUGCAAAUUAAUGAAAUAAAAAUUAUCAUGCAACGUGAAAUUUAUAUAAAUAGUAUUUUAUAUGGUACCAUUUAAAAUUAGUGUUUGCUUAUUUUGCAUACACAUAUGAUUUUUAUAAUUUAUUUCAUAUUUAUUUUAAUAUAUAUAUAUAUUUCAUAUUUAUGUUUCUGGCUCCGCCAGUUCGCCACUAUUGGCAUGUAAUGUGUUGUUGAUAGCUAUUCAAACAUUGCAAAUAUUAACUCUUAAGAUAAUUGAAGAAGCAAAUAAAACUUUUGUCAUUUAUGAUAAUAAAUGUGAAAUAAGUAAUAAAACUGAAAUGAUGGAUAUGUGGGAUGUUAAUACAAACAAAAUAUUAAUAUUUCAUUGGUUUAAUACUAUAGAGUUAUAUGUAUGAGUGUCUUGAAAAAAAUUCAGUAGUCAUUUAUUUCUAUUUUAGUUGAUUAUUUUUUAAUUUUUUUAAUUCAUUUAAUGAUUUUGCUUUUCCAUUUAAAAUGUUCAAGUUGUAUGUGUCGCAUGAAAUUUCCCUUGACUUUUGUUAUGAUUUGGUGAAAAUGCAGGGGAAUUUCACAACAAAAAUAUGAGAAUCGAUUUGUUUUCAAAGCCAUUAGCAGAAUCACACUUUUUCCAAGAACAAUGAAGAGUCAAUUUUGAGUUCUUAGAUGUAAAUGCCAGAAUUCUCAAAAAAUAUAUCAUGCUCUACAUUUUUUCUAUGCAAUGAUCUUACGUUACCAAAAUCUUUUUGGAAAGCUGUAUUAAAUCAUUUGGAAAAUAAAAUUGAGGAUGUUUCUCAAAAUCAAUAUUUAAAUAGUGACUGUCGCGAUCAUUUACUUACAAAGCUUAACAUAUAUAAGAAUUAUGAAAUGAAUCUAUAUCUCCGAUGAUAUGUAUAAUUUUUAUUUAAAUUUAUUUGCGUAAAAAAGUCAUUAAUAAAAUUUUAAACAGUUUUAUAAAAAAAAAUACUUAUAGUUUAACUCUUGUACACUAGCGGAACUUUUCUCCAAUUGACAGUCUAAUUAGGAACAUUUCUCCAGAAGCUAACAUUUGUCCCUGUAAGCUUGAGUGUAACCAAGCAUUGUUAUCCCACAUCCAUUCGUUGUCUAUGUGGUAGAGUCCUUUUGUUUCAAGGGGAAUAAGUGAAGGAUUCAGUAGUUGAAAUGAUUUUGCAUUUAGAACUCCACAAUAUUCAAGCACCUUUCUACUGAUUCAUAUAGAAUGUUUUGUAUAUCUGUCUUUCAAAAUGAAAUUUUAUUUAAAGUUUAGAUCAUCUUUAAAUUACGUUUCCAAUUUAACCAAUUGAGCUAUUUUCACUAUUGAUCACAGCUAACAAUUUAACCAGUUGAACUAUUUUCACUACAUUUUUACAAAUUUAAUUGUUAGCUGCGACGAACAUAAUCAAUUGAGCUAUUUUCACUACUGAUCGGAGCUAACAAAUUACGUUUUUAUAUUUUAAUUUGUGGCACUUGACACCCUUUUAUUGUGUAUGGGUCUACCUAUGCUCUUGUACAAUAUGAAAAGGCAUAAAAACUUUACUUUUAAAUGAUUUUUAUGUAGAGAAUAAUAAAACUAUAAAAAAAAACGAGUGAAAUAUGCAAAUGAAAGAAAUUUUAUUCCAUUAUUAUUUUUCUCAUCUAAAAUAUUUUCUAAUAAACAUGUUUUACUAUUAUUUUAAGUUUUUGAAUUAAUAACUAAACCGGUAAUUCUUGCGAACCGGCAAAAUUAGGAGGUUUGUAAUUUUGUAUUAUCUAAACCGAAUUGUAAAGUAUAAAGAUGGACCUUACCUUUUCUCUUGUCAAUCCACUUCUGCAAUAGCUCGAAACCAGGUUAGUCUAGCAUUCUCCUUCUUGUCACUUAUUUGCAUGCAUAUCUCUAUGUAUGUUAAUUUCUCUAAAGUUUUUGUCUUUCAUGGUAAUAUUGCGCGCCUAUAUUCUAGAUGUUGCAUCUGAAACAGAGGUCAGUUUCUGUUCUAUCCAACUCCAGUCCUCCACAGUUCUCGCUUCACUUGCAGAGUUGGAUCUCUUCCAGUUAGCAAACCGUAUUCAGAAGCUUCCCACUUCUUCACACUCCGUUGCUCUCACGAGGCUUCUCCAAUCAGUUCUGAAGAUUUGAAGUUAGUGUAGUUGGAGAAGGUCGACAGUUGGGUCGUAUGCUUUGCCAAGCUGAUUCCCAAAUGACUAUCAAGGUUAUGAUUUUAGAUCCUUCAGAGAAUUGCUCAGCAAGUUCCUUGUCCUACGGUCACAUGGUUCAUAGCUUUGACGAUAGUGCUACUGUAGAAGAGUUUGCUACAAGGUCCCUUCUUUUCUUCUCUUUCUUGAAUGUUUCCUAUUGUUAGUGACAAAUUUGAUGUUUAUUGUCGUCGUUAGAUGUGGAGUCUUGACCGUGGAAAUUGAACAUGUUGACGUGGAAACGUUAGAGAAGCUUGAGAAACAAUGAGUAGAUUGCCAAGCAAAAGUCUCUACUAUCAGGCUGAUAAUACAGGUUUCCUAAUCUCCCAAAUCUUUUCAGCAACUGAAGAAUGUCAAGCAAUGUGAUUUAUAUCAGGCACUUUUGAUGUUUUCAGGAUAAAUACAUAUGCAAAAGGAUCAUUUCUCUCAGCAUGGCAUCCCACUUCCAGAGUUUAUGGAGGUUAGGCCUUUGUUUCUGCUUUGGAGAAAGAAUCUCUCACUAAGUUCUACAUGAAUGAAUCAUGAGGAGUUUGUUACAUAUUUUUAACCACUUAAGCCUUGACAUGACAGAUGGGCGAUUUUGCAGGAGCGGAAAGAGCAGGUGAACUUUUCGGCUACCCUCUUAUGAUCAAGAGCAAGCGAUGGACGCAGAAAUGCAGUUGCCAAUAGCCAAGACGGCCUUUCUUCUGCUGUAACGGGUAAUAACAUUACCAAGUAUAAACUGUCAUUAUUGAUAUAACCUUUGUCCAGCUCUUGGAGGUUUCAGGUAUGGUUGCUUCACUCACUCCUUUGCCUGUGAUUGGACUUGUUUGGAUGGUGUUGAUUCAGUUCUCUCUAUCGUUCAGGUAAGCACUCAUUGCUUCAUGUUUCACUUGAGCUAUUAAUUGCUUGCAGUUUUUCAAACAUUUAUCUUUCUUUUGGGGGUGUUCCUGUGGCGACAGUUGCAAUAAACAACUCCACCCAUGCAGCAUUGCUCUCUAUCCGGAUGCUUGGGAUCUCUGAUACUGACCUUCUCUCAAGGUUCUUUUACCUUCCUUGUUUCUUUAACAUAGAUUCAAACUGAACAAGACUAAAUUAGGGUUGUGGGUUUUGCUUGGUUGGUCAGGAAUCAGGAUGAGCCAGUACCGGGAAGACAUGAGAGAAGAGAACAUGGUUAAAGGAGGUUGAGUGAUUGAUUUUGCUGACAAGAAGUUCCUACUGAGAGCAUUCUUGAGUUGUUGUCACAAGUAAUUCCGGUUUAGCUUCUUUUUUUUUUUUUGGAACAACCAUCCGGUUUAGCUUCUUGAAGUUAAGGCACAGCUGAAUUUGUCUCCACAGAGAUGUCAAUGUAAACCGAUAUAUAUAUCAUUAUCAAGUAUAACUAAAAGACUGCCAUAUUGAACCGGUUAAGCCAGUAGAUUCGAUGUACAUUCAUUAACUAAUAUAAAAGUGACCUUAACAAAACCAAAAAACAAUCCAUAACCUUAUU